UGGGGAAUUUUGGACAAUGGGCGCAAGCCUGAUCCAGCCAUGCCGCGUGCGGGAAGAAGGCCUUCGGGUUGUAAACCGCUUUUGUCAGGGAAGAAAUCUUCUGAGUUAAUACCUCGGGAGGAUGACGGUACCUGAAGAAUAAGCACCGGCUAACUACGUGCCAGCAGCCGCGGUAAUACGUAGGGUGCAAGCGUUAAUCGGAAUUACUGGGCGUAAAGCGUGCGCAGGCGGUUUUGUAAGACAGAGGUGAAAUCCCCGGGCUCAACCUGGGAACUGCCUUUGUGACUGCAAGGCUUGAGUGCGGCAGAGGGGGAUGGAAUUCCGCGUGUAGCAGUGAAAUGCGUAGAUAUGCGGAGGAACACCGAUGGCGAAGGCAAUCCCCUGGGCCUGCACUGACGCUCAUGCACGAAAGCGUGGGGAGCAAACAGGAUUAGAUACCCUGGUAGUCCACGCCCUAAACGAUGUCAACUGGUUGUUGGGAAGGUUCCUUCUCAGUAACGUAGCUAACGCGUGAAGUUGACCGCCUGGGGAGUACGGCCGCAAGGUUGAAACUUAAAGGAAUUGACGGGGUCA
This 573-nucleotide ribosomal RNA is filed under the name uncultured bacterium. RNAcentral's name for it is "partial 16S ribosomal RNA". It matches the Rfam family "Bacterial small subunit ribosomal RNA", at positions 355 to 921 of the family's 1533-position model. The record is from RNAcentral.